UGGGGAAUUUUGGACAAUGGGCGCAAGCCUGAUCCAGCCAUGCCGCGUGAGUGAAGAAGGCCUUCGGGUUGUAAAGCUCUUUCGGUGGGGAAGAAAUUGCACUUGAUAAUACUGAGUGUAGAUGACGGUACCCGCAUAAGAAGCACCGGCUAACUACGUGCCAGCAGCCGCGGUAAUACGUAGGGUGCGAGCGUUAAUCGGAAUUACUGGGCGUAAAGCGUGCGCAGGUGGUUGUGUAAGUCAGAUGUGAAAUCCCCGGGCUCAACCUGGGAACUGCAUUUGAGACUGCACGGCUAGAGGAUGGCAGAGGGGGGUAGAAUUCCACGUGUAGCAGUGAAAUGCGUAGAGAUGUGGAGGAAUACCGAUGGCGAAGGCAGCCCCCUGGGCUAUUACUGACACUCAUGCACGAAAGCGUGGGGAGCAAACA
Molecule: ribosomal RNA, 427 nt
Filed under: uncultured bacterium
Lineage: Bacteria
Description: bacterial SSU rRNA
Rfam family: Bacterial small subunit ribosomal RNA
Source: RNAcentral